Molecule: ribosomal RNA, 399 nt
Filed under: uncultured Clostridium sp.
Lineage: Bacteria; Bacillati; Bacillota; Clostridia; Eubacteriales; Clostridiaceae
Description: bacterial SSU rRNA
Rfam family: Bacterial small subunit ribosomal RNA
Source: RNAcentral
GGAAUAUUGCACAAUGGGCGAAAGCCUGAUGCAGCAACGCCGCGUGAGUGAUGAAGGCCUUCGGGUUGUAAAGCUCUGUCUUUUGGGACGAUAAUGACGGUACCAAAGGAGGAAGCCACGGCUAACUACGUGCCAGUAGCCGCGGUAAUACGUAGGUGGCAAGCGUUGUCCGGAUUUACUGGGCGUAAAGGAUGCGUAGGUGGAUAUUUAAGUGGGAUGUGAAAUACCCGGGCUUAACCUGGGUGCUGCAUUCCAAACUGGAUAUCUAGAGUGCAGGAGAGGUAAGUGGAAUUCCUAGUGUAGCGGUGAAAUGCGUAGAGAUUAGGAAGAACACCAGUGGCGAAGGCGACUUACUGGACUGUAACUGACACUGAGGCAUGAAAGCGUGGGGAGCAAACA